GACACGCUGGCGGCGUGCCUAACACAUGCAAGUCUGACGGGAAAGUCUCCUUCGGGAGACCGGUACAGUGGCGGACGGGUGAGUAACGCGUGGGAAUCUACCCGGUAGUGGGGAAUAACCCCCCGAAAGGGGAGCUAAUACCGCAUAAGCCCCAAGGGGUAAAGAUGGCCUCUUUCUAAUGCUAUCGCUUCCGGAUGAGCCCGCGUCCUAUUAGCUAGUUGGUGAGGUAAUGGCUUACCAAGGCUACGAUGGGUAGCCGGUCUGAGAGGAUGAACGGCCACACUGGGACUGAGACACGGCCCAGACUCCUACGGGAGGCAGCAGUGAGGAAUAUUGGUCAAUGGGCGGAAGCCUGAACCAGCCAUGCCGCGUGCAGGAUGACGGCCCUACGGGUUGUAAACUGCUUUUCCCCGGGGCGAAUAACCCCCUCGCGAGGGGGGAUGCCGGUACCGGGGGAAUAAGGAUCGGCUAACUCCGUG
This 479-nucleotide ribosomal RNA is filed under the name uncultured bacterium. RNAcentral describes it as "bacterial SSU rRNA". It matches the Rfam family "Bacterial small subunit ribosomal RNA", at positions 33 to 507 of the family's 1533-position model. The record is from RNAcentral.